This 406-nucleotide ribosomal RNA is filed under the name uncultured bacterium. RNAcentral's name for it is "bacterial SSU rRNA". It matches the Rfam family "Bacterial small subunit ribosomal RNA", at positions 250 to 649 of the family's 1533-position model. The record is from RNAcentral.
UGGGGGUAAGAGCCUNCCAAGUCGACGGAUCAGUAGCUGGUCUGAGAGGACGAUCAGCCACACUGGGACUGAGACACGGCCCAGACUCCUACGGGAGGCAGCAGUGGGGAAUUUUGGACAAUGGGGGCAACCCUGAUCCAGCAAUGCCGCNNGUGNGAAGAAGGCCUUCGGGUUGUAAAGCACUUUUGUCCGGAAAGAAAUCGCGCUGGCUAAUACCUGGCGUGGAUGACGGUACCGGAAGAAUAAGCACCGGCUAACUACGUGCCAGCAGCCGCGGUAAUACGUAGGGUGCGAGCGUUAAUCGGAAUUACUGGGCGUAAAGCGUGCGCAGGCGGUUUUGUAAGACAGGCGUGAAAUCCCCGGGCUCAACCUGGGAAUUGCGCUUGUGACUGCAAGGCUAGAGUGC